Molecule: long non-coding RNA, 245 nt
Organism: Phascolarctos cinereus (koala)
Lineage: Eukaryota; Metazoa; Chordata; Mammalia; Diprotodontia; Phascolarctidae
Source: Ensembl
UGUUCUCUUUAUCUCACAUUACUCUGGGACUUUUUUUUUUUGCAGAGAAUUGAGUCUUGCACUUUGGAAAUGCUCUGUCCACCUUCAAUGUUCCACACACAAACAGCAAAAAAUGUAGGGAGAUGCUUCAGAUGAUCAACUGCUUCUUCAAAUGGGUUUUUCUGAACUUUAAAGCUGAAUCUUGAAACAAUCCCACAGUUCUGGAGAACUUAGCAACAACAACAAUAAAAAGAAGAAAGGAAACA